UACCAGCUCUUCGAGUGGUGUGGAUGUUCAUUGGGCCUAAAGCAUCCGUAGCUGGCUGGGCAAGUCCCCUGUUAAAUCCACCGAUUUAAUCGUUGGAGUGCGGGGGAUACUGUUCGGCUAGGGGACGGAAGAGGCAGACGGUAUUUUCGGGGUAGGGGUGAAAUCCUAUAAUCCCGAGAAGACCACCAGUGGCGAAGGCUGUCUGCUAGAACGCGCCCGACGGUGAGGGAUGAAAGCUGGGGGAGCGAACCGGAUUAGAUACCCGGGUAGUCCCAGCUGUAAACGAUGCAGGCUAGGUGUUUGGACGGCCACGUGCCGUUCUAGUGCCGCAGGGAAGCCGUUAAGCCUGCCGCCUGGGGAGUACGGCCGCAAGGCUGAGACUUAAAGGAAUUGGCGGGGAGCACCACAAGGGGUGAAGCUUGCGGUUU
This 428-nucleotide ribosomal RNA is filed under the name uncultured archaeon. RNAcentral's name for it is "bacterial SSU rRNA". It matches the Rfam family "Archaeal small subunit ribosomal RNA", at positions 474 to 903 of the family's 1478-position model. The record is from RNAcentral.